CAGCCCUAAACGAUGCGCGUUAGGUGUAUCGGUGACCACGAGUCACCGAGGUGCCGAAGGGAAACCGUGAAACGUGCCGCCUGGGAAGUACGGUCGCAAGGCUGAGACUUAAAGGAAUCGGCGGGGGAGCACCACAACGGGUGGAGCCUGCGGUUUAAUUGGACUCAACGCCGGGAAGCUCACCGGAUAAGACAGCGGAAUGAUUGCCGGGCUGAAGACCCUGCAUGACCAGCUGAGAGGAGGUGCAUGGCGUCAGUGACU
Molecule: ribosomal RNA, 261 nt
Filed under: uncultured archaeon
Lineage: Archaea
Description: partial 16S ribosomal RNA
Rfam family: Archaeal small subunit ribosomal RNA
Source: RNAcentral